CGUGAAAAUUGGCGUUACGGUUCCAGGGAAAGCGGUGCGAAUCCGCUGCGGACCCGCCACUGUGAGAGAGGACGAAAGCCGCACAAGCCACUGUUUUUAGACGCCCUUCACGGCAAGUUUGGAGGCGUCUCAUGAGAAAAGCGCAGCUAUGCGCCGGGUUAUUUCCCGCUCAUGGAUAAAAGAUGGGAAGGCGCGGCCGGUAGAAUGAUUCUCGAGCCAGGAGACCUGCCGUAACUUUUUCCGGAUU
This 247-nucleotide non-coding RNA is filed under the name Desulfatibacillum alkenivorans. Lineage: Bacteria; Pseudomonadati; Thermodesulfobacteriota; Desulfobacteria; Desulfobacterales; Desulfatibacillaceae. RNAcentral also lists the same sequence under 1 other name. The record is from RNAcentral.